CUUUUCAGUUGUGAAUACUUAAAAAAAAUGACAACUCCAGAAAACGCACCAUUGUCGAUAUUUUUACAAUAGCAUCAAUAAUUUUCGUCGUCUGAAGGGAAAUUAAAAACAUAACCUGAAUAGUUAUACCUACACAAUAAUGAGGAUAAGCUGAUGAGAAAUUUCUAACAUUUGAAAAAUUUUCAAAUACAUUUAAUGAAUGUGUUAAAGAAAUAAUUCGCGCGUCCAUGUGAACCUAGCCUUAGUAGAACACAACAAUGAUAUACCCAGCACGCGUUGGCGUUGGUAUUAUCACAUUUCCAAUGUGUUAUCGGUAAAUUUAUCUGCUGGUAAAUUCCAAUAAUUAAAGUCGAAAGUAUGACGCAGAUUACAUGUUCCAUUUUGUUUUCUGCUGUGGCAUAAAUUACCAAAAUUAUUUUUAGAUGUGGCGCAAAAUACACAUUUAAUUUUUAUAUUUUGGCGCAAAUUACAAGUAAUAAAAUUGGCGCAAAAUACCAUCUCCCCAUUUUUUGGACCGAUUGAUUGGCAUGCAGGCCGCAGUGGUGCAAAUUAUAACCGUUUAGUCGCAGUAGGUAUCCAGUCGGGCCAAUUUUUUAUUUAAUAUAGGUGAACCUAAUCAAAAUCACGAAGCUCGAUGAAGAUCAAUCUUGAAUCUACAAAGAACAAACAAAAAUUGUACAAUAAUACGUAGAUGUUGAGUCAACCUGUAAAACAGUAAAUCCUAGCAUUGACUUAAGCCGUGGUUUCCUACAACCACGCAUCCGUGAUUACGUGGAGCGCGAUGCGUAAUGGAAGUGUUUUGCUACGAUGCGUGUUUACGACUGAGUGGUUUGGAGCAGAAAAUUUUAGUCAGUUGAUGUUUAGUAGUACAUCAAAAUGGACGUGGUUAUGCUUUAUACAAUUUUGAAGUACUAUUGCUACUUCCGAAUAAUUUCCGUAAUGGAAAUUAUGAAAUGUUUAGUCAACGGAACA
This is a long non-coding RNA of Sipha flava (yellow sugarcane aphid), 972 nucleotides long. RefSeq lists it as uncharacterized. NCBI's taxonomy places the organism in Eukaryota, Metazoa, Arthropoda, Insecta, Hemiptera, Aphididae. The transcript is spliced from 3 exons. The record is from RefSeq and is a predicted model, not a curated record.